This 227-nucleotide unclassified non-coding RNA is filed under the name Pleosporales sp. RNAcentral describes it as "partial contains 5.8S ribosomal RNA, internal transcribed spacer 2, and large subunit ribosomal RNA". Lineage: Eukaryota; Fungi; Ascomycota; Dothideomycetes; Pleosporales. The record is from RNAcentral.
CGCACAUUGCGCCCCUUGGUAUUCCAUGGGGCAUGCCUGUUCGAGCGUCAUAUAACCCCCCAAGCUCUGCUUGGUGUUGGGUGUUGUCCGGUGGACUCACCCCAAAUCUAUUGGCAGCCGGCAGUCGGUGUAGAGUGCAGCACAUUGUUCUCGCGCAGACAGGCCGUCUUUCCACAAAGAAGACCCAUUUUGACCUCGGAUCAGGUAGGGAUACCCGCUGAACUUAA